Non-coding RNA from Paramuricea clavata, 913 nucleotides. NCBI's taxonomy places the organism in Eukaryota, Metazoa, Cnidaria, Anthozoa, Malacalcyonacea, Plexauridae. The record is from the annotation of a GenBank genome assembly.
ACGGAUAUAAACUGUAUUGAAAUGAUCCAAUUGAAUCAAAGUAUGUAAUUGUGAGAAGUAUUUUCAAAAGUAGGUUGUUUAAUUAGUAUUUACUGAUUAAAAAAUAAGAAAAUCAUUCAAAGAAAUUCUUAUUUUUUCAGGUAGUUAAACAAUCUACUGUUUGCAACUGUAGCUAGUGAAUAGUCUACUUUGCUGUAUGAUUGAUUACAGUGAUUACAGGUUUUGAAGAAACAAUUGUUUAGUAUCUGUGUGUUUAUAUUAUGGACAUGGAUUAAACAAUUAACAUAGAUUAAGAUACUUAAUUGAAAGAACUUAAGCUAUAUAUGUGUAUGUAUACUGUACAGAAAUUUAUUCUAUGUUUAAAUCUUUUUGUGUAGAGGAAUGCUCAACCCCUUUUAUCAGGAUCUCAACCCCUUGUCUAUUGGUACUGGACCUCUGGAAGAGAUAAGUUUGAUUUCAUUGAUUGCAGAGGGAGUGUUUGUGAAAAAUUCAAAUUGUGCAAUAUAGCCAACAACCUGCAGUUUAUGAUAAUGCACAAUUUAUGAUAAUGAUGAUAUUAUAUCAUUAAUGUAAUGCAUGUUUUGUACAUGCAGGAUAUACCGUAAAUCUCCAAAUAUAAGCCCCCCAUGUAUAAGUCCCCCCCCCCCACGUAUAAGCCCACCACAUGUACUAACGCUCACCUCAUUCCAAAUAUAAGCCCCCCCCCUGAAUAUAAGCCCACCCAAAUAUAAAUAAGCCCACUUGUUUAUCACUAUUACAACUAUUUAUCAUUAUUAUUACUAUGCUUGUUUAACACUUGUUUAUCACUAUUACAACUAUUUAUCAUUAUUAUUACUAUGCUUGUUUAACACUUGUUUAUCACUAUUACUAUACUUGUUUAUUACUAUUAAACUAACACAAAAGAUUGUCCAUG